Heterocephalus glaber (naked mole-rat) is the source of this 5776-nucleotide non-coding RNA. NCBI's taxonomy places the organism in Eukaryota, Metazoa, Chordata, Mammalia, Rodentia, Bathyergidae. The record is from RefSeq and is a predicted model, not a curated record.
GGAGAGAGAAAGCAUCAGCCAGUGAGCUACCCUGUUCAGUGAAGCUCCUGCUGGGACAGAUUUUAAUGUUGCUAAAGCUAGAUAAGGGAAAAGGCGUUAAUAGCAACAAACUAACAGAGGGAGGCACUGUCCUAAGAGCCACACCGAUGCUGCUCCUCUUAGGAUGGUAUGAUGACCAAGUAAACCCAUGUAAGUUGAAAAUGCAUUUAAUAUACCUAACCUACCAGACAUCACAGCUGGCCCUAGCCUAACUUACUGUGCUCAGAACAUUUACAUUAAUCUAUUGUUGGGCAAAACCAUCUAACACAAAGCCUGUUUUAUAAGGAGGUGUUGAAUAUCUCAUGUAAUGUACUGCAUACAUGAAAAAGGGGGGAAAAAAGAAAAGAAAAAUGAGUACACUUUCAUACCAUGGGAAAGUUCAAAAUCUAUGUCAGGGACUGCGCGCGCGAGCAUGCGUGUGUGUGUGUGUGUGUGUGUGUGUGUGUGUGUAACAUGUAACUUAAUAUAAAUUUAAUCCCCCAGCUACCCUGUGAGGUAGUGACUCUUGUCCUUCUCAUUUGACAGAUAAGAAAGCUGAGGCACAUAAGUUACUUUUCCAAGAUUAAGUGGUAGAAGAUACUGCUGAGACCAGUUUGAGGGUGCCCUAAGUUAUGGCAGCCAAGCUUAUCUUUUUGCUGUCUGAGCCCUCUCUCUCUCUGAUGGAGGCAAUGAUUUGUGAGCAUUUACUAUGUGACAGAAAUUAUGCGAGUUUCAUUAAUCAUCUCAUUUCAUCUUUAUAUGAACUGAGGUUGCUAUUACUGUUCUCAGUUUAACAAGUGGAGAAACUGUGGCAGGGGUGAAGUAACUCACCUAUGGUCGCAUAGUUCAUAGAGUUGGGACUAAAAUAUAGGACUGACUCACCCCAGAGGCUGUAGUCCUAACUACCAAGCAUGGCCUGCAUGUGGCUGGGCAGGGGCUUGGCUUUAAGGCUACUGUGUCUUCUGCACAGCAAGGAGAGGGGUUGACUGGCCAGUAGAGAAAUAAGGAGGCCAGGAAAUUGCCACUUGCUGGAAACCCUCGCCUAGCUCUUCCCAGCCUGUCUCUCCCUCCAAAACACCUCCCUCAGCUGCCCUCAGACGUGGCUCCAGCACACCUGGUGCCUUCUCAGGCUGACUGGCUGGACUGCACUGGCCAAGCAAGAGCAGGGAGCCUGGGGCCAGUUCUUCCAGACCCUUUUUGGGUUUCUUAGGACAGAGUCUCAGGUGCCAUCUGGAAGGGGCUGAGAGAUUGACUUGGGUGAGGGCCACAUUUGGAGGCUGGGGAGGAGAGGCUCUGUCUGAUAAUUCACAAGGUUCACUCUCCCUGGGUCCAAGCUGCCUUAGUCCUGCCAGCUCCCUCCCCAGAUCCUGAUCAAGUUACUCACAGCAAGCUUCAAGUUUGGGGACCAUCUGUUUCUUAAGCCCCCCAGAGACCCACAGGAUCAUCUUACCUCCUGUCUUAAUGCUCAGAGCUAAGCCUGGAGGGCAGGCGGGUAGGGAGCUGACAGGGCAGGCAGGGAAGCUCUGCAGGGCUGGGCUGGAUUGGCAGCUGACUGUCUCAAGCUUCUGGGUCCAGUGUUCCCCUGCCAACCCUGGCCCUGGCAGGGAGGGGCAUCCUAGACAGGUUCUCAGUGAGCCAGCAACACUAAGGGACAGUGGAGGACUAAUACCCCUUAGAGGAAGGAGGCUUUCGCUGGAGUGUGAAGAUUGCCUAAGCUUUGUGCCCCUUCCCAAGGUGGGGAAAGAAAUGGUGGUUCAGGCUCUGACAGCCCUGGGAUGCACAUGUGCAAGUACAGGAGUCUGAGUGGUGGUGGCGGCAGCAAGAAACACAGAGCACAUGGGUGGCUACGCCUGCUGUCGAUGGCCCUUGCCCUGGCCUCUUUGCUUCUGCCUUCUGGACCCUUCCUUUCAGAAGUACUCAGCUGCAGCUGCUGAGAGCCAGGACAGCACUAGAGGAGACUCUAAGCCCCAAACCAAGCUCAGUUCAUUCCUGGCAAACCGUGUCUCCCAGACUCCCCUAUUUUUCCCUGUCCCCCAGUUCACUUUCCUGUCACACCUGCCCGGAACCUCAAGAGACAUUUUUGGCUUCUUCACUCAGUCAUCCCUUCCCCACCCAACUUAAUCAUGUACCGUGUUGGAGUCCUCUCCUGGAUGUGUCGCACCUCUCCCUCCAUCCCCUGAAAUGCUGCAGAACCCUUGUUUAGGACCAGGCCUCUGGACUACCAGACAUGAGUCCCUGAGCAGUUUUCUCAGACACACACUUCCAGUCACCUUACUCAGCGGCCCUCCAUUGCCCAGAGACUCAAAUCUAGUAAGCAACUAUAGAAAUGAUCCCUGAAAGUACAGCCUUGAGAGGCUCAAAUCUAAUCUAGUCUGCAGUCCAGGCCAUGACAGGAUUUUCAAUUCUGGGCGUGUCUCUAUCCCCUAUAUGUACUUGUCAUGCUCCUGUGGGGGCCUUGUCUGUAAUCUUUAAGAUGUUCGUCCCUAAAGUCCUGCUGCUUAUGUACUUGCCCCCAUGUCCUCCACAAGUUUAAAAUGCCCAGCUGCUCAUGAAAUAUUUAUUGAGCGCUACUGGAAGGCAGAGAAUGAGGUCUGUACCCAGAACCUAGCUGGCACUUGUUACAUACCCAUAAACCAUACACUGAGUCCUACUGACUGCCCCCCAACCCGCAGAUCAUCCAUUCAGACUUCUUGCUACCUUCAACCACUUGCUACACAGAGAUGAGAUAGAAGAGGGAGAGAGAGCCAUUUCCCAAGGUUUCAUUUCACCAAGCAGCAAGAAGUCUGCGCUGGCAGGCUUCCUUCCAGAAGGCAAAACACAGUCCAGGUCAGAGGCAGUGGGAGGAAUGAAAUGACCCCAUUCAGUUUUAUCCAGUAUGGAAAAAUCCAUAAGAAAUAAUGCUGACAUUUUGCACAAGUUUUCCAGCGAGAAUGAAUCUGUGGGUAUGCAUGAAUUCACGGCUGUCCAUAAAACAGAGGCCCCAUUUAAGAAAACAAGGGCUGAAAUUGCACCCAUGUUAAAAGUAAUAUUCUGUAUUGGUUAUGAACAAAAGGAAUAGAGUUCAGAUCCCAGUUCUGCCAUGUAGUAGCUAUGUGACUUAGGCAGGUUAAAUUGUUUUUCAAUUUCUGCAUUCUUUAACAUGGGAAUGAUAGCUUCUGUCUUAUAUAACUAUUAUGCAGAUUAGAUGAGGUAAUCUGUACCCCUAUAUGGCACAAAGAAAGGCUUAGGUGAAUGCUAGCUGUUCAUUUAAGGCUUCCUGUGUACUUCCAGAACACUUUUUCCUCAUUGAAAAUGAACUUCAUAGUAAUGACAGGAUAAGGGAAACACACUCCUGUCCUGUCCCUUCUUCCCCCAACCCUGCCCCAUGCAGGGGAAGAUGAGGGGAAGGAAGAGGAAGCCUGGGCAUCCUCUUGCCCACCCUCACGCUGACCUCAGCCCAGCCACGGGCAGGUGCUAGCUAGCAGGCACAGAAGGGGUUGGAGGCAGCUGUGAGAGGGAUGAGAAUGGAAGAAGGAAGUUGAGUUGUGGGAAACUGGGAGGCCAGCGGCAGUGGGAGCAGAAGCAUCCCCUGGGUCUUGAUGGAGAGGGAAGCCAGCAGGACAGCCUUUCCCACCAUCCCCAAGGGGAUGAUGUCAGCCCCAGAGGAAAAGCCUGGGGCCAAGCUGCUAUCUUCACCUAGAGCGUGGGACCUUCUCUGAUCUGGGCUUCUUGUGCUGCAGGACUGAGGAGGGAGCAGUCUGAGUGGGAGCUAAGGAGUGGAGCCAGCUCAGACAGAGCCAGAAGUAAACAUCUCUAAAUCCCAGUCUCCAAGCUAGAAGCUUCUGAGUUCCUCUUGCCUCCUGAUAUCUCUGAGCCUCAGGUUCUUCCUCAGAACAGUUUUAUCCUACUUGCUUUCAGGUGUUACCUAGAGGGUCCGAUUGGACCUGAUUAGUUUGAGUAGGAAUGGAUCUAACAGCCACCUCCCUUUCAAGUCCACAUGUGAGACUGAACUACCCACCAUCAAAUGCAAAGCCUUUAAUAAUCAUAUCCCAGUGAAUAUCAUGGGAAUCCUUUCUAAGAAAGGCCCUCGGUGACCCUGCUGUUUGCCUCCACAUCACCCCUCAGUCCAGCUCCCAUCCCUUGCAACUUCUAGAACUCAGUUUCAUCUUAAACAUUUUCUGCACAAGAAACUUUGGCUCGCUGAGGUUUACCUCAGCAUAUGGUGUACUCUGUAUUUGGAGCUGUGUGGCUGCCAGUUCCCACCUGGUGUGGGAGAGAGCUCCACACGGUAGUCUGGAGCCCUAGCUGGCUAGGUCUCAUACUGACCUCGGCCCCAGCUAACUUGGCCACCUGCCAUUGGGCAAAUUCAAUAUCCUUUUAUGCGUUGGGUUCUGAAUCUGUGAAUAAUAGGCCCUCCCAUGUGUUUGGCACAUGUUCUUUCACACUGCCUGAGCCCCACACUUGCUCUGGGAGGCUGGCUAGGCAGGUGGAGUAGGCCCCACUUUAUGGAUUAGGAAACUAGCGAUCCUCUCAGAUCAUCUCUCUGUGUUACCCAAACAUUCCCCAAUGGGCUGUCAUUAUUUUCACCAUAUCUACACGUGAUCCAGACUUCUGUUUAAUAUUUUAUUUAAAUGCAAAGAAAUGUGUUCAUAAAGGAAUCUGCAUUUAAAGCAUAUGGCUUGCCAUAAAUAGACAGUAGCUAUAAAUAUAUGCUGCCUUGGUCACCACCAAGAGAAACAUUGCUCUAGCUCCUGAGGUCCUGAAGCUGUCAGUGGGAAGGCUGAGACCCCCAAGGCUGGCUCCCUUCCUCCAGGACAAUGAGCUUUUGUGCCAUCAUAAUCCCUGACCAUUCAGCAUCAUGGGGUAAUAGUGAGAAGAAACCAGGCCAGUCAGUGGCCUUUACCACCAGAUGGGGAAGAACAUGAAACCGUCCUCUGAGGGCCUCUGAGAACCAAUUCAGUUCCUUCCCACUGAAGGCUCCUCUUCACUGAGGGAUGAGGGAAGAGGAGCUGCCUGCCUGGGGCCAGAGGGGCAGAUGCCACUGAGACACCAGAUCCCACAGCUGGAGCAGGGCAGUCUGGGGUCAGCUGUCCAUGGGCAGUCCCCCUACCCCCAGUGGUGCACACUCUCUGGGCCCUUUGUAGUGUGGGAGGAGUGGGGAUGGAAGAAGAGGUGCCAGCAUCCUCGGCUCCCUUCCCAAGCCCUGGCCUGGGCCCCUGACUGAUCCUGCAGCUGUGCCCUCCAUCCAUCCAUCUCAGGCCCUCUCCCACUCAGCCAGAACCCUUUGACACAGGCUCCGCUUUGCACAUGGAACUGGCAGUGCGCCCUGCCUCACUUCCCCACCCCCAUCUCUCACAAGAUCCCCAUACAGUUCCUUUCAGUCCCUGAGGAAGCUACUGAGGAGGCUUAGGGCCGGAAAUGGGAAAAGCCCUGUUUCUGCCAAGAGGCCCAUUCUCCAGCUCAGUGAAUAGGGACCUUCUUGGCUCUUGGCUGGGAUUCCUAACAGGAAGAUCCUGGUUCCUAAAGACUAGAGAAUAGAGAAGUACCUUCUGGGAACACCAGGUUGCCUAGGAGGGCUGCCUCCGUCUGAGAGACUCUGCUGCUUCCCCAUGUCUCACCUAGGAUGGACAUUCCAGAAGAUGGCUCUUCCAGCCUCCUCUUCCUCCAGGAAGCCUUCCUGACCUGGCUGUAUUUUAUGAGUCCUGAUCACUCAGGCUUUAUGUAUUCUAUCUGUUCUACACUGACCUGAAUUCAGGAGGAAUGCCCUGUGGGCAUCUUA